AACGGAAAAAGCUUUAUGCGCCGAAGGAUGAGCCUGCACUUGAUUAGUUUGUUGGUAGGGUAAUGGCCUACCAAGACUUUGAUCUAUAGCUGAUCUGAGAGGAUGAUCAGCCACAUUGGGACUGAGACACGGCCCAAACUCCUACGGGAGGCAGCAGUAGGGAAUAUUGCACAAUGGAGGAAACUCUGAUGCAGCGAUGCCGCGUGAGUGAAGAAGGCCUUUGGGUUGUAAAGCUCUUUCGUCGGGGAAGAAAAUGACUGUACCCGAAUAAGAAGGUCCGGCUAACUUCGUGCCAGCAGCCGCGGUAAUACGAAGGGACCUAGCGUAGUUCGGAAUUACUGGGCUUAAAGAGUUCGUAGGUGGUUAAAAAAGUUGGUGGUGAAAUCCCAGAGCUUAACUCUGGAACUGCCAUCAAAACUUUUUAGCUAGAGUAUGAUAGAGGAAAGCAGAAUUUCUAGUGUAGAGGUGAAAUUCGUAGAUAUUAGAAAGAAUACCAAUUGCGAAGGCAGCUUUCUGGAUCAUUACUGACGCUGAGGAACGAAAGCAUGGGUAGCGAAGAGGAUUAGAUACCCUCGUAGUCCAUGCCGUAAACGAUGUGUGUUAGACGUUGGAAAUUUAUUUUCAGUGUCGCAGCGAAAGCAUUAAACACACCGCCUGGGGAGUACGACCGCAAGGUUAAAACUCAAAUGAAUUUGACGGGGACCCGCACA
This 710-nucleotide ribosomal RNA is filed under the name uncultured Pelagibacterales bacterium. RNAcentral's name for it is "bacterial SSU rRNA". It matches the Rfam family "Bacterial small subunit ribosomal RNA", at positions 196 to 927 of the family's 1533-position model. The record is from RNAcentral. Lineage: Bacteria; Pseudomonadati; Pseudomonadota; Alphaproteobacteria; Candidatus Pelagibacterales.